GCCUGGGUGGCUCAGUCGGUUGAGCGUCCAUCUUUGGCUCGGGUCAUGACCUCACAGUUUGCGGGUUCAAGCCCUGCUUCGGGUU
RNAcentral lists this transfer RNA (85 nucleotides) under Felis catus (domestic cat). It matches the Rfam family "tRNA". Rfam says of the family: Transfer RNA (tRNA) molecules are approximately 80 nucleotides in length. The record is from Rfam by way of RNAcentral. Lineage: Eukaryota; Metazoa; Chordata; Mammalia; Carnivora; Felidae.